AAGACAGAAAGUAAGGGUUGGC
Molecule: microRNA, 22 nt
Filed under: Sarcophilus harrisii (Tasmanian devil)
Lineage: Eukaryota; Metazoa; Chordata; Mammalia; Dasyuromorphia; Dasyuridae
Description: Sha-Mir-7373-o5_3p (mature (co-guide))
Source: RNAcentral